This 442-nucleotide ribosomal RNA is filed under the name Epinephelus areolatus (areolate grouper). RNAcentral describes it as "partial 12S ribosomal RNA". It matches the Rfam family "Bacterial small subunit ribosomal RNA", at positions 312 to 955 of the family's 1533-position model. The record is from RNAcentral. Lineage: Eukaryota; Metazoa; Chordata; Actinopteri; Perciformes; Serranidae.
AUAGCUAGGAGACCCUGCCAGCCACACCCCCAAGGGGCCCUAGCAGCGACAGCCAUUAAGCCAACGAGCGUAAACCCGACUUAGUUAUGGUUAAAAGGGCCGGUAAAACUCGUGCCAGCUACCGCGGUUAUACGAGAGGCCCAAGUUGAUAGGCUCCGGCGUAAAGCGUGGUUAAGGAGUAAUAGAUACUAAAGCCGAACGCUUACUAAGCUGUUAUACGCUUACGAAAGUAAGAAGCACACCCACGAAAGUGGCUUUAUUUUACCUGAACCCACGAAAGCCAAGAUACAAACUGGGAUUAGAUACCCCACUAUGCUUCGCCCUAAACAUUGAUAGUUUUACACAACCACUAUCCGCCUGGAGACUACGAGCAACAGCUUAAAACCCAAAGGACUUGGCGGUGCUUUAGACCCACCUAGAGGAGCCUGUUCUAAAAAACCAA